This 303-nucleotide ribosomal RNA is filed under the name uncultured bacterium. RNAcentral's name for it is "partial 16S ribosomal RNA". It matches the Rfam family "Bacterial small subunit ribosomal RNA", at positions 507 to 807 of the family's 1533-position model. The record is from RNAcentral.
AGCAGUAGCCACGGGAAUACGAAGGGGGCUAGCGUUGUUCGGAUUUACUGGGCGUAAAGCGCACGUAGGCGGACUUUUAAGUCAGGGGUGAAAUCCCGGGGCUCAACCCCGGAACUGCCUUUGAUACUGGAAGUCUUGAGUAUGGUAGAGGUGAGUGGAAUUCCGAGUGUAGAGGUGAAAUUCGUAGAUAUUCGGAGGAACACCAGUGGCGAAGGCGGCUCACUGGACCAUUACUGACGCUGAGGUGCGAAAGCGUGGGGAGCAAACAGGAUUAGAUACCCCGGUAGUCCCUGUCUCUUAUAC